Gossypium raimondii (Peruvian cotton) is the source of this 90-nucleotide non-coding RNA. The record is from Rfam. Lineage: Eukaryota; Viridiplantae; Streptophyta; Magnoliopsida; Malvales; Malvaceae.
CAUCCCGAUGAUGAUGUAUAUGGAUUGUUAAAAGUAGUGUCUGAUAUAUUUACAAUGGUUGGAUGAUAGAUAAAUACAUACUGAGGGAUG